This 253-nucleotide ribosomal RNA is filed under the name uncultured bacterium. RNAcentral's name for it is "partial 16S ribosomal RNA". It matches the Rfam family "Bacterial small subunit ribosomal RNA", at positions 524 to 776 of the family's 1533-position model. The record is from RNAcentral.
UACGAGAGGCCCAAACGUUAUUCGGAAUUACUGGGCUUAAAGAGUUCGUAGGCGGCGCAGAAAGUAGGGUGUGAAAGCCCUCGGCUCAACCGAGGAAUUGCGCUCUAAACUACUGUGCUUGAGGAACCUAGAGGUGAGCAGAACAGAUGGUGGAGCGGUGAAAUGCGUUGAUAUCAUCUGGAAUACCGGAGGCGAAGGCGGCUCACUGGGGGUUUUCUGACGCUGAGGCGCGAAAGCCAGGGGAGCAAACGGG